Molecule: RNA transcript, 4286 nt
Organism: Columba livia (rock pigeon)
Lineage: Eukaryota; Metazoa; Chordata; Aves; Columbiformes; Columbidae
Gene: DCUN1D2
Gene name: defective in cullin neddylation 1 domain containing 2
Exons: 8
Source: RefSeq, a predicted model, not a curated record
CUCUGGACACCGCCUCUCCCCGCGGGCGGCGGUGCCGGGAGGGCGGCGGUGCAGGGAGGGCCGCGGGCUCCGCCGGCGCGAACUUCAACCCCGCGCUCCGCCUUUGCGCCUUGUCCCUGGAGCGCGGCCGGCGAUAGGCGGCCAAGGCGGGCCGGUGCGCGCCUGCGCGGGAGGCGGCGCCGGGCAGUGAAGUUGGUCAAAGCGCCGGUGAUAACAUGCAUAAACUUAAAUCGUCUCAGAAGGACAAGGUCCGCCAGUUUAUGGCAUUUACCCAGGCUGGUGAAAGGACUGCUAUAUACUGCUUGAUGCAGAAUGAGUGGAAACUAGAAGUGGCAACAGACAACUACUUCCAGAAUCCAGACUUGUACUACAAAGAAUCCAUGAAAAAUUCAGUAGACAGGAAGAAAUUAGAACAACUGUAUAAUCGAUACAAAGACCCACAAGAUGAAAAUAAAAUUGGCAUUGAUGGGAUUCAACAGUUCUGUGAUGAUUUAAGCCUGGACCCAGCCAGUAUCAGUGUUCUGGUUGUAGCGUGGAAGUUCAGGGCAGCCACUCAAUGUGAAUUCAGUAAAAAGGAAUUUGUUGAUGGUAUGACGGAGUUGGGGUGUGACACCACAGAAAAACUAAAAGCGCUGUUGCCAAGACUGGAACAAGAGCUAAAGGAUCCAGCCAAGUUCAAAGAUUUUUAUCAGUUUACUUUUAACUUUGCUAAAAACCCUGGACAAAAAGGUCUAGAUCUAGAAAUGGCAAUCGCAUAUUGGAAUUUAGUCUUGUCAGGAAGGUUUAAAUUUCUAGAUCUUUGGAACAAAUUUUUGUUGGUGGUUGCAGAGAGCGAUAAGGUCUCCCCUCAGCCUCCUUUUCUCCAGGCUGAACAGCCCCAGUUCCCUCAGCUGCUCCUCAUCAGACUUGUGCUCCAGACCCCUCACCAGCUUCGUUGUCCUAUGAUGGUGGAUCCAGAAGUCCGUGAGUAAGGCAGAAGAGUGUAGGUGCAACUGUAACCAAAAAGUUGAAAGAGAAACUGGGAACAUCAUAAAAGAUCAAUUCCAAAAGAUACUUGGAAUCUUUUGUUAGACUUUGGAAAUAUGAUUGCAGAUGAUAUGUCCAACUAUGAUGAAGAAGGAGCGUGGCCUGUUCUUAUAGAUGAUUUUGUGGAAUAUGCACGACCAGUCAUCACAGGAGGAAAACGUAAAACUUCCUAACGCCAGACUUGUCAGUAUGGACUAAACAUGCUCUCUGAACUGCAUUAGGUAAUGAAGAUGUGUUGACUGAUACCUGUGCACGUUGUUGCUGGUCUCAGUGGUCGUGAUGACGUUCUGCAGACAAAACUGAAAUUCUUCCUUUCUGCCUCAAGAAAAUGAUCGCUGACACAUGGACACUGGAAGAACAAACUCAGAAGAUAGUCCAGGCUGUUUGUAGGCUACUGGCUUCAAUUAUUGUACUGGUUGUAUCAUAUAGGAUGUAGAUUUUGCAUGAUUUUAUACUUUGGAGAAGUUUAACUAGAGGCCAUUUGAUUACAAUUUUGACAGCACAGCAUGCAAUUCAGUUCAUGAUCCGAGGUGAACACCAGCAGUUACAUAAAUAAAACUGUAUUAUAUUGUACUUAUAUUAAAAAGCAGUAUUUGUGGUAUAUAAAUUAAAUCCCUAAAUAAAACUUAUGCAGUAUGUUGUAUUUUUGUAAAAGUUAGUUGUGUGGAUCUGUCCUAGUCUAGAAUUGUAAGAGAACAAAAAAACAUUUAUGCUUCCUUUUACUUGGUGCCAAAAUUUUAAAUUUAUAAAGUCCUAAAUGUAUAGAUUGAUUACAUCCAGCCCAUUGUUUUCUUCCAGUGAGGUCACCUUCCUUGUAAUUCUUCUGGAAGUGCUUGGACAUGUAGCAGUAGCAUAGCUGAAGAAGGGCUGCUGUUCUAUGCGAUGUUGCAACUGCAGCUCUUUUUAUUGACCAUUUAAAGAAGCAGACAUUAAACAACCAAAGAUGCUUUUGCAGUUCAUGUUUGAUCGCAAUUCAGUUAGUCUUCAGUUAUGUCUUUUAUUUAUUUUAAAUAAUGAACUGGUGGAAUGUAACUCGUGGUUUUAUUUGUAGCUUGAAACAUAUUGUAAAUUCUAGCCAAAUGCGACAUAGUUAUAAAUGCAAUUCCUAGCAAGUUUCACAGAAAAGAAAUGUGAAUAAGCCCAGAGACUUAACCAGUUGGCUUCCACUUGGGAAAAAUAGUUAGGGGUAAGAAGACUACAUUAAUGAUGAUAAGCAUUUGUGCCUCUGGAUGUAUUGCGCGUUCAGUAACAUUUACUUAAGGGAAAAAAAAGAGUAAAUUAAUACACUGUCAUUGAUCUUGAGGCUAAUGGACUAGCUUUCACCAAAUCUGAGUUUUUUCAGUCAUUUGUUUCUCUCCUUUCUCCAGAUAUCAAUUGUGAAGUGUACAGAGGUCAGGCUCCUCUUUCUCAACAGUGUCUUCCAAUGCAUAAGCACAGAAAGGCUUUACCAGGAACUAUUCAACAUCCUCACACAGGGCUCUCUUAAAUGCUACCUCAUCAAAAUGGGUUUGUCAUAGCUACUAUGAAAGUUUGUUAAAAAUUUGCUGAAGAGCAUGUACAACUAUGAUUAAUAUAGGUAAUCAGACCCGAAUAGAUGCAAGAAUUUUGGAUAAAAUAGUGCAUUAAGCUAUAUAAUUUAUAUCUGUUUGGAUCACAUCAGAUCAUUUAAGUAUUGCAUGACAGCAUAGUAUCUUAUUUCAUAGUCAUGAGGGUAUAAAGGCUUACCAUUUGCUCUUAAACUCUAAUAUUUAGAGUUUUGUAUAAGCAGUCAGCUUUCACGUAUGUCAGUGCGGCCUACAAGGACAAGCAUACGUGCUGCGUACAGAAGGGUUACCUUCAUUCUGGGGAUUCCAGUCCUGCAUGAUGUUUAAAAAGCAGGAGCAGAUGAGCAAAUUUCCUCUUCAUAAGAAUAUAGGAGCCAAGUUACAAAUGCCCCGUGAGUGGUUUAUAAAUAGUGGUUUUACCCCCAGCAGCAUUUGUGGACAUUGCCCCUUGCCCAGCAGCCACUAGGUGUCAGUGCCCUGGCCGCCUGCUGCCCCUCUGCAGCCUUCAGGAGUAAUAUUAAGCCAAAUUAUUCCUUCUGACUGCAUCUUUUUAGAAGGGCAUUUGUGUAUGUAAGUCUAGGUAUUCUACAGAAGACAGCAGAGGUUUAAAAAUGGUAUCAUGCUCUUUUAAAUUCAUCUGAUUUACCUAUUCUUCCUUGCCAAAACAAGCUUUUUCUCUAUUUGUCCUGUGGGCUUUGGACAAUGUGUAACAUAUCAUAACAUCAAGUGCAUUUAUCCAGCCAAAAGUGGUGGAAUGUUUGUUAUUCACACAAUCGCCACUUAAAAUAUAUAGCUAUAAUAUAACUGACCAGAAGUAGCUUAAUCUAUUGGUGUGUGUUGUAACUCAAUAGUUUUCAUAGUGCUAGAGCUUGUGAAACAUUUGCUCACACUGAGAACUCCCUCAAAUCAACCUCAUGAACCUUUCACCCUUUGAAAUAAAUAGAGCAUAAAAAAUGCGUGUGGGUUGAGGUGUUUUGCCUUGUUAAUCUGAGGAAGAAGGAAGGUGCUUAGCACAGUAUUCAGUUUCCUUAUAUGCAUGCUUAUCCACUUCUUACACUAUUUUUAACAAAGGAAGACUGGGCAAAAUACUCUCAAGGUAGGAGUUGCUCCUUAGCAGCGACCUUCCUAAGCAUAGUACGCUUUUUCUUUUCUCCUUCCUACUCCUCUACCCAUUUGAAGCCACCUAUACACGUUUUACCUCCCCACAAGUAAUAGCAUACUAAAUUGUUCACACUUGAACAAUCAUAAAAAUAAAAGGAAAUGAACUCCUUUCAAGUGAUGACUUCCUUAUGUGUUUUAAUAACUUGCUACUGUCAAUAGUUCCACUUUACAGGGUGCUCUGAUUUGCUUUUUAGUUGAGCUGGUACAGUGGAAACACGUAGGCUGAUCAAUUUAUAAUCAGAAAUGGUACAGAUGUCUUGAAGUUGUUCCGUGCAUACAGUAUUGAUUCCUAGAUAUGCUGUAUGUAUUUUUGAACUUGGUGCCAAGUUGUUUGGUUUUACGUCCUGGAGUGUUUGAAACUGAGCCACAGGAUAUGUACUUGCCAGUUCUAAAUUUAAAUGUAAUUUAUCAUGUAUGUCAUGCCAAGGAGAGCAAACCUGCACGCAUCUGCUCAUUCAGUGCACCUGGGAGAUUUGCUGCUAAGCUGUACACGUGUAAAUUUUGUGGCGAUGGAAAAAGGAAUAAAUGGACGGUCAACAUAAAGGAUUGAAGUCA